UGGGUCGAUGGUGUUGUGCCUCGGCAGCUGGGAUCAUGCAAGGCAGAUGGGAAGCAGCAGUGCCGCCUCUCCCCCCGAGCUCCAGAUACAUGAUAGCAGCAUCGAGGUGAGCAGUGGCAAAGGUUCCCACCUGAACAUAUCGAGCCGUGACACCAGUACGGCCACAACCUCCAAUACUACUACGACUGAUGGCUAUCCUCUACCCGAGGAGAAAAACUGCAUUCAGAGGUUACGGAAUGGCAAUGGUUGGGUUACCUCCCAGGAGCAGAUGAUUGGCAUGGUUAGUGAUCACUAGGCCAUGAAUCUCAUGGAUCCCAUGAUACAGGUAUCUGGUCCAGAUCCGACGGAGACAAGCAAAAUCGUGAUGCUGCUUCUUCUUUCGAUUGUAAGUGAAUCCUUUGAUGACA
Molecule: long non-coding RNA, 407 nt
Organism: Triticum aestivum (bread wheat)
Lineage: Eukaryota; Viridiplantae; Streptophyta; Magnoliopsida; Poales; Poaceae
Exons: 3
Source: RefSeq, a predicted model, not a curated record